GCCCGGGUGGCGGAAUGGUAGACGCGGGGGACUUAAAAUCCCCUUCCUUCGGGAGUGCGGGUUCGAGUCCCGCCCCGGGCA
RNAcentral lists this transfer RNA (81 nucleotides) under Pseudenhygromyxa salsuginis. Its description in RNAcentral is "tRNA-Leu". It matches the Rfam family "tRNA". Rfam says of the family: Transfer RNA (tRNA) molecules are approximately 80 nucleotides in length. The record is from RNAcentral. Lineage: Bacteria; Pseudomonadati; Myxococcota; Nannocystales; Nannocystaceae. RNAcentral also lists the same sequence under 1 other name.